This 1073-nucleotide long non-coding RNA is filed under the name Papio anubis (olive baboon). Its description in RNAcentral is "lncRNA (ENSPANG00000045065.1)". The record is from RNAcentral. Lineage: Eukaryota; Metazoa; Chordata; Mammalia; Primates; Cercopithecidae.
UCUAAUUCGAUUUGUUGGGCUGGGACCCAAUUUGGUUUGAUAAGCCUUUAGAAAGGAAUUUUAGGGAUUUAUUCCAGUAAUAAAUAUGAAUUGUUUUUAGGUAGGUAUUAUAUCAGCUUUGUGAAAGUCAUGCUUACCCUAGAGCUUCUAUUGCCUAGCCUUUUAAAUGCACAUAAAUUAUUAUAUUAAAUUAUUUAUUAUUGAAACUGAAUAAAAAAAGAAUCGGGUUACUGGUUUAUAAGCCCCCCACCUUGUUUUUUUUUUUUUUUUUUUUUUUUUUUUAACUCUUCAAUUGUAUCUAUUUCUCAGUUUAUCGUAUCUAUAUUAUUUCUCUUGGAAUUUUGUUUUUAAGUGUGAGCCCUGCAGAAGUGUUAUGGAUGAUUGCAAGAGCUGCUAGUGGAGGUCUCUCAUAUGGAAGAUGCUCUUCCUUUGAUCUGAGCCUUGAGGAUAACUGAUGCUCAGGGACAAUGCUUUUACCUCCUGAAGAGCAUCCUCAGAGGCUGGUCCACAGUCCAUGGAGUGAGGUUGAGGACCCAAAAAGGUAGCCUCAUUCUUGAUUUUGGCUGGCAAGAGGGGAACGCAAGGAACCAAAAUGAUCCAUUUCCAUACCAUUUCCUCUUCAAGGGUUUGAAGUCUAUUUUUUACCCUUCCAACCACUUUCUCUGCCUCUCUGUUUGGAUAAUAUAUGUCUGUGGACAAAGUGAGAGAUACAGAAGUUGGAGGGCAGAAGGAGAAUUUCCAAGUCGCCAAAACCUUUGUUCAUUCAUGGAGCAAACAUAUAUCGAAUGCCUGCUUAAUAACAUGGACAGUGCUAGGUACUGAAAAUACAAAUAAAUAAGAUGCAGUCUUUGCCUUCAAAAAACUCAUAGUCAAGUACAGGCAACAAAGAAGUCAAUUAUUGUGGUCCAGUGUGACAGGUGCUUUGAUAGAAGAUAUUGCCUGGAUAUUAUGGAAUCAUAUGGUGAAUGGCUAUCUAAACUCUAAAAAUCACGGAAGACUCACCUGGUAUUAGGUUGGUAUAAAAAUAAUUGCAGUUUUUGCCAUUUAAAAGUAGUGGCAAAAUUUCUUUUUCA